UGAAGCUGCGUGAGGCUUCCUGUAUGGUACUCUUCUGCAAGAAGAGACUCUUACUUGAAGUUAGCUUAAUCCUCACUUUAUUGUUGUUACUAGUCAAAUUAAUUGCUGUCUUUGUCAGAGAUAAUAAACCCUUUGCAAAUCUGAUAAUAUUUACUUAGGUGUUUUCAUUUCUUGAAAGGUGAAGAUGUGUAAAAAAAAAAGGAAUUUUGGUGGCAGUUUGUUGGAAUGAGGAAUUGAAGUGCAUUUUAGUCAUGUACAUGAAUCUAYAGAACAUAAUCUGAAAUCUUAUAUGUCUUUUGAGGUUUGCACUUGUUCCACUUGUGUCUUGUCUCUUUUUCUAGUCAUGUUCUCAAAAAUGUCACAGUAGCCACAAUGGAGCAUUUCUCCCAUUCCCACCUGUGCUCUGUGAUGUGAAAAAAUAAUGUUAGUACACAGAGGUCUUGACUUCCUCUUGAAUACAUCUGUAUGAUUUUAUUGUGCAGUCCACUGUGCCUGUGAUCUGUCUGAGAGCAGCUGGCCAUGAGCAUUGCCAAGGUAUUGCACUGGGCUGCUGAUUAUUUUAUCUAUUUCAGAAAACUUGAAAAACUGCAUCCAUGAAAAAAACACUUGCAAACCACAGCCUCACCAUGAAGGCAUUAGGGCAGCCAUGGCUAUACCAAGUGUCUUAACCAGAGUCUUUCACUCUCUGACAAAUCUUUUCUUCUUGAAGACCAGAAAGAUUGUUAUUGAGCCUUCCACAAAGCUGAAAUAAUGCUGUGUGUUAAAAAAAUGUUAACAAUUUGAAGAAGUUAUAAAAAUUUAUAAGUUGACUGAAUACUUUGGAAAUUUCUGCAUAUUUUAAUAUAAAUAGGUGCUGGCAGCAUGUGGAGCUGAGAACAGUGAAAGCCCAAAGGAGUAGGGCACCAGAGGAGGUCAUCAGGAGCAGUCAUGCCUGAUAAACCCUCCAGGAAGGAGAAAGGGAGAAUGAUUGAUUGAUUGAUUGAUUCCAAGUUUCUGUAGGUAAAGUUGGUGCCUAUCUGAAAUCUACUGUGAUUUAGUAUUUCAUGAUGGAUUCCCUCCUGACAUACUUCCUGUGAAAUUUUGAUAGGGCUAGAAGCACUUUGUAGCACCACUUCCAUUUACAAGUGUGCAAAACUAGUGCACAACAUUCCCAGGCUUUUGAUUGUGCAGUUUUUAUAGAUCUGUUUCUCAAGACAUCCUGGAACGUGCUUUGGUGAGUUGGAAGGCUUUCUUGGUCAUUGACACCAGAGCUAUGAAAUAACAUUGCUGCUAGCUGGCAGUCUGCUCUGUAGAAAGCUGCUUAUAAUUUUCAAAGACUGCUUUCCAAAUGGARUCACUAUGGUAAAUGAACCCAUUAAAGCUUACACUCACAAAACUGAAUUCAGUUCAGGAGAAUUGAUUCUUCAGUCUUUUGUGAGUCACUUCCACUGUAACAUUCUCUGGAAUCAUUCAUUUUUGAGUGUUUAAAAUGACUGAUUGGUAAUGCGGAGUUAUCAUAGAUUCAGAGGUAUUUCCAUGUUCCCUGUCAAUGUGCCACUUCAUACCAUAUUCUCACAGAGACUGUUAUAUAAAAGUACUAUUUUACAGAGCGGGGGCACAGAGAGAAUAAAUGAUGUAGAUAAGUCUGUGUAAAGAAAUAUGUUGCAGAACUGCUGAUUCUAGGUUUCCUCAUGUUACAGUGUUUAGCCUCUGGACYAGCUCUCUUGUUCUCUAGCAAAGGUUCAUCACCUUUGUGCUGCAGCUCUUGCUCAUCCCAUCCAGCAUGGACAAAAAGGUUGCACAAUGUUCAGGUGAGUCUGAAAGCUGUUUGGAUUCUUAGCUUUAGUGACAGCGUUAUUUCUAAUAAAGUGGUGGUUAGCUGAGACAAGUGUAUUUAGUGCCUAAGUAGAGCAUGUUUCUGUAUGGCACUACUUUGGAAACAAGGAAAGCAAAAAAUGUAUGGUGAGGUUGUUGUCAAGAACCGUUCUUGCUACAAGCAAUGGGCACARCACUUUGGCUUUUAAAGUUUGCUAAAAUUAUUUGCUGGUAAGAUUCUGGCUUGCGAAAGGUGAUAAGAUGCACCAGCGCAACACAGACAUCAUUGCUACAUCUUGUCAGUAGUUGUGAAGAUACAUGUUAACAACGUUAAGAUUUCCCAG
Malurus melanocephalus (red-backed fairy wren) is the source of this 2138-nucleotide long non-coding RNA. RefSeq lists it as uncharacterized. The transcript has 3 exons. NCBI's taxonomy places the organism in Eukaryota, Metazoa, Chordata, Aves, Passeriformes, Maluridae. The record is from RefSeq and is a predicted model, not a curated record.